This 423-nucleotide ribosomal RNA is filed under the name Salmonella enterica subsp. enterica serovar 1,4,[5],12:i:-. RNAcentral describes it as "partial 23S ribosomal RNA". It matches the Rfam family "Bacterial large subunit ribosomal RNA", at positions 1645 to 2049 of the family's 2925-position model. The record is from RNAcentral. Lineage: Bacteria; Pseudomonadati; Pseudomonadota; Gammaproteobacteria; Enterobacterales; Enterobacteriaceae.
UACCCCAAACCGACACAGGUGGUCAGGUAGAGAAUACUCAGGCGCUUGAGAGAACUCGGGUGAAGGAACUAGGCAAAAUGGUGCCGUAACUUCGGGAGAAGGCACGCUGGCGGUAGGUAAAGUCCCUCGCGGACAGAGCUGAAGCCAGUCGAAGAUACCAGCUGGCUGCAACUGUUUAUUAAAAACACAGCACUGUGCAAACACGAAAGUGGACGUAUACGGUGUGACGCCUGCCCGGUGCUGGAAGGUUAAUUGAUGGGGUCAGCCGUAAGGCGAAGCUCCUGAUCGAAGCCCCAGUAAACGGCGGCCGUAACUAUAACGGUCCUAAGGUAGCGAAAUUCCUUGUCGGGUAAGUUCCGACCUGCACGAAUGGCGUAAUGAUGGCCAGGCUGUCUCCACCCGAGACUCAGUGAAAUUGAACUC